Long non-coding RNA from Aquila chrysaetos chrysaetos, 1258 nucleotides. RefSeq lists it as uncharacterized. The transcript is spliced from 2 exons. NCBI's taxonomy places the organism in Eukaryota, Metazoa, Chordata, Aves, Accipitriformes, Accipitridae. The record is from RefSeq and is a predicted model, not a curated record.
AGGGGCUGGCCGGGAGGCCGGGCCCCUCAGAGCCCGGGCUGCCUGCGGGCCGGGCCGGGCCGGGCCGCGCCGCGCCGUUGUACGCGGCCCGGGGACGAGGAAGGCCACAAAGAGGGGAAAGGGGAGGCGGUGUGAAAGGACGAGGGCCGAGAGACCUCCCCGGCUCCAUUUUAGCCCACCGCGCUUAACGGAAGCGCCGCGGCACCUGCAGCAACCCGUGCUCGCUGCCUGCACUGCUGCCUUGCCCGGCCUGGCGUCGGCUGGUAACUGGGCCGGGGCACCACGCGGUGUCGGCACACCGGCAACGGCCACGUCCUGUGCAGUCAUCCACGGCAAGGUGAAGAUCAACUCUUACCGGUUUACAGUGGCGUUAACCAAAGGAAGAUACGGAAAACUGCCAAUUUUCUGAACAGAAGCUCAGCCAAUGGAACACUGAAAACCACUGCUCCCUUUUGUACCUAACCUUAAAUUUCCCGACUUUACCUGUACAAUAACUUCUUCUAUGUGACCACUAUUCAGUUUGUCCUGUAGUUUUUGCACAUCAGUCUCCUGUGUAUUCAAAUGCAUAUAAAUAAAUAUUUAGUUUUACUGCAAAGCAGAAAGCCCAGAUAAAGCAUGAAAACAAUAAUGUAACCAGAUCACACUCUAGUCUUCCUCAAAACUUACCAUCAGAUUAGCUGGCUUCUGUCAUUUUACAUUAUCAAAGAAAUCUCAUGCACUUUUCUUAUUGGAAAACAAAUAUCAAACUCUCAAUGAUAAAUAGAAAAACCGAGUACUAUUUAAUGACAUCCAAAGAAGCAUCAGCAGCUAAGGGUUUUAGUAGGUAUCUCGAAAGAAAAUUUUGAUAUUAGAUUUUUAUAAAAUUAUAUGUAACCUUCCAGUUAUCACCUUAAAUACACAAUACCAGUAUUCCACAGUUUAACGUAACAACAAGUGUUUUAAAAUGUUGAAGGCAAGGACUGUGCUAAGAUAAUACAUUGGUAAGAGUACAUGCAUUUUUUGUGCAAGUGUGUGGAAAUUGCCACUGUUCUACAAAUCUUAAAAAACCCAUGUUUUCUUCUAAUUUUCACAGAAAACGUCAGUAAGAAAUUAACAAUUCUCCAAUUAUUUCUGAAUUGAUACCUGAAAGUUACAUAGACUCCUGAAAAACAGCCAUUCUGAAAAUCAUUCUGCUCAUCCUAAGAAUCUUUUCAUGCGUAACAUUUAUGAAACAGCUCUGUACUUACCGUUUGCACCAAAUUAAAUCGCUGAUUUACAA